Molecule: ribosomal RNA, 400 nt
Filed under: Mantidactylus melanopleura
Lineage: Eukaryota; Metazoa; Chordata; Amphibia; Anura; Mantellidae
Description: partial 16S ribosomal RNA
Rfam family: Bacterial large subunit ribosomal RNA
Source: RNAcentral
UCAGUGAAAUUAAUCUCCCCGUGAAGAAGCGGGGAUACCCAUAUAAGACGAGAAGACCCCAUGGAGCUUCAAACCCAACUACACCCCUAGCUCUUAUAGCCCCACAACCCCCCUAGGCACCGUGUGCUUGGUUUUAGGUUGGGGCGACCGCGGAGUACAAUAAAACCUCCACAAUGAAUGGGAACACCCCCUUAUCUGAGGGCCACACCCCCUAAGAAUUAGAACACUAACAUAAAAUGAUCCAUUACUUGAUCAAUGAACCAAGUUACCCUGGGGAUAACAGCGCAAUCCAUUUCAAGAGCCCCUAUCGACAAAUGGGUUUACGACCUCGAUGUUGGAUCAGGGUACCCCAGUGGUGCAGCAGCUACUAACGGUUCGUUUGUUCAACGAUUAAAACCCU